Molecule: microRNA, 22 nt
Filed under: Callorhinchus milii (elephant shark)
Lineage: Eukaryota; Metazoa; Chordata; Chondrichthyes; Chimaeriformes; Callorhinchidae
Also listed under: 6 other names
Description: Cmi-Mir-22-P1a_5p* (star (passenger))
Source: RNAcentral
CGUUCUUCACUGGCUAGCUUUA